Molecule: non-coding RNA, 265 nt
Filed under: Leuconostoc gelidum
Lineage: Bacteria; Bacillati; Bacillota; Bacilli; Lactobacillales; Lactobacillaceae
Description: T-box sequence
Rfam family: T-box leader
About the family: Uncharged tRNA acts as the effector for transcription antitermination of genes in the T-box leader family. T-boxes are found upstream of many aminoacyl-tRNA synthetase genes and some amino acid biosynthetic genes usually in Gram-positive bacteria. The anticodon of a specific tRNA base pairs to a specifier sequence within the T-box motif, and the NCCA acceptor tail of the tRNA base pairs to a conserved bulge in the T-box antiterminator hairpin.
Source: RNAcentral
UUCUCAACAGUGAAGAGAUAAGUAAUAUCGUGAGCACACUAAGAGAAUCUAUGUUUGGUGAAAGUAGAUUGCGCGAUGAUAUGAAAAUGGUCUUGGAGAGAUACGCCAUGGUGAGCAUACGCUAAUGCGUUGUGAGCAAUGACCGGGUGUGCCCGUUAUAGCAACAGCAAUUCCUAUCUUUAAAUUUUUUAAAGCAUGGCGAUUGUAUGAGGUAUGUUUUUAAACAUACAAAUACCGGGUGGUAACACGAUAAGUCGUCCCGCAG